This 260-nucleotide ribosomal RNA is filed under the name Helicobacter pylori. Its description in RNAcentral is "partial 23S ribosomal RNA". It matches the Rfam family "Bacterial large subunit ribosomal RNA", at positions 1929 to 2188 of the family's 2925-position model. Lineage: Bacteria; Pseudomonadati; Campylobacterota; Epsilonproteobacteria; Campylobacterales; Helicobacteraceae. The record is from RNAcentral.
GGCGGCCGUAACUAUAACGGUCCUAAGGUAGCGAAAUUCCUUGUCGGUUAAAUACCGACCUGCAUGAAUGGCGUAACGAGAUGGGAGCUGUCUCAACCAGAGAUUCAGUGAAAUUGUAGUGGAGGUGAAAAUUCCUCCUACCCGCGGCAAGACGGAAAGACCCCGUGGACCUUUACUACAACUUAGCACUGCUAAUGGGAAUAUCAUGCGCAGGAUAGGUGGGAGGCUUUGAAGUAAGGGCUUUGGCUCUUAUGGAGUCA